RNAcentral lists this non-coding RNA (26 nucleotides) under Homo sapiens (human). The record is from RNAcentral. Lineage: Eukaryota; Metazoa; Chordata; Mammalia; Primates; Hominidae.
UUGCAUGAUGGGCUUCUGCAGCUUCC